RNAcentral lists this ribosomal RNA (478 nucleotides) under uncultured bacterium. RNAcentral's name for it is "partial 16S ribosomal RNA". It matches the Rfam family "Bacterial small subunit ribosomal RNA", at positions 28 to 523 of the family's 1533-position model. The record is from RNAcentral.
GACGAACGCUGGCGGCGUGCUUAACACAUGCAAGUCGAACGGUAAGGCCCUUCGGGGUACACGAGUGGCGAACGGGUGAGUAACACGUGGGUGAUCUGCCCUGCACUUCGGGAUAAGCCUGGGAAACUUGGUCUAAUACCGGGUAGGACCACUGCCUGCAUGGGGGGUGGUGGAAAGCUUUUGCGGUGUGGGAUGGGCCCGCGGCCUAUCAGCUUGUUGGUGGGGGGAUGGCCUACAAAGGCGACGAGGGGUAGCCGGCCUGAGAGGGUGACCGGCCACACUGGGACUGAGAUACGGCCCAGACUCCUACGGGAGGCAGCAGUGGGGAAUAUUGCACAAUGGGCGCAAGCCUGAUGCAGCGACGCCGCGUGAGGGAUGACGGCCUUCGGGUUGUAAACCUCUUUCAGCACCGACGAAGCGCAAGUGACGGUAGGUGCAGAAGAAGGACCGGCCAACUACGUGCCAGCCGCCGCCGUAA